UGAGGAAUAUUGGUCAAUGGUCGGGAGACUGAACCAGCCAAGCCGCGUGAGGGAUGAAGGUACAGAGUAUCGUAAACCUCUUUUGUCAGGGAACAAAAGGCGCCACGCGUGGCGCUCCGAGUGUACCUGAAGAAAAAGCAUCGGCUAACUCCGUGCCAGCAGCCGCGGUAAUACGGAGGAUGCGAGCGUUAUCCGGAUUUAUUGGGUUUAAAGGGUGCGUAGGCGGCGAGUUAAGUCAGCGGUAAAAGCCCGGGGCUCAACCCCGGCCCGCCGUUGAAACUGGCUUGCUUGAGUUGGAGAGAAGUAGGCGGAAUGCGCGGUGUAGCGGUGAAAUGCUUAGAUAUCGCGCAGAACUCCGAUUGCGAAGGCAGCCUACCGGCUCCAGACUGACGCUGAGGCACGAAAGCAGUGGUGAUCGAACAGAUAUGAUACC
This 433-nucleotide ribosomal RNA is filed under the name uncultured bacterium. Its description in RNAcentral is "bacterial SSU rRNA". It matches the Rfam family "Bacterial small subunit ribosomal RNA", at positions 355 to 786 of the family's 1533-position model. The record is from RNAcentral.